Molecule: unclassified non-coding RNA, 229 nt
Filed under: plant metagenome
Description: partial contains small subunit ribosomal RNA, internal transcribed spacer 1, and 5.8S ribosomal RNA
Source: RNAcentral
UCUCCGUAGGUGAACCUGCGGAGGGAUCAUUACAGAGUUCAUGCCCUACCGGGUAGAUCUCCCACCCUAUGUUAUUAUUACUUUGUUGCUUUGGCGGGCCGUUAGGCUCCGGCCCGACUACCGGCCCCGGCUGGUAAGCGCCCGCCAGAGGACCCAAAACCCUGAAUAUUAGUGUCGUCUGAGCACUAUAUAAUAGUUAAAACUUUCAACAACGGAUCUCUUGGUUCUG